GCAAGCGCGGGUAAACGGCGGGAGUAAC
This 28-nucleotide small RNA is filed under the name Bombyx mori (domestic silkworm). Its description in RNAcentral is "ovarian small RNA-16251". Lineage: Eukaryota; Metazoa; Arthropoda; Insecta; Lepidoptera; Bombycidae. The record is from RNAcentral.